RNAcentral lists this ribosomal RNA (253 nucleotides) under uncultured bacterium. RNAcentral describes it as "partial 16S ribosomal RNA". It matches the Rfam family "Bacterial small subunit ribosomal RNA", at positions 524 to 776 of the family's 1533-position model. The record is from RNAcentral.
UACGUAGGGACCGAGCGUUGUCCGGAAUCAUUGGGCGUAAAGAGCGUGUAGGCGGCCUGGAAGGUCAGCUGUGAAAACUCGAGGCUCAACCUCGAGACGUCGGUUGAAACCACUUGGCUAGAGUCCGGAAGAGGAGUGUGGAAUUCCCGGUGUAGCGGUGAAAUGCGCAGAUAUCGGGAAGAACACCCGUGGCGAAAGCGGCUCUCUGGAACGGUACUGACGCUGAGACGCGAAAGCGUGGGGAGCGAACAGG